CAGCAGCCGCGGUAAUACGUAGGUGGCAAGCGUUGUCCGGAAUUAUUGGGCGUAAAGGGCUCGCAGGCGGUCUCUUAAGUCUGAUGUGAAAGCCCCCGGCUCAACCGGGGAGGGUCAUUGGAAACUGGGAAACUCGAGUGCAGAAGAGGAGAGUGGAAUUCCACGUGUAGCGGUGAAAUGCGUAGAGAUGUGGAGGAACACCAGUGGCGAAGGCGACUCUCUGGUCUGUAACUGACGCUGAGGAGCGAAAGCGUGGGGAGCGAACAGGAUUAGAUACCCGCGUAGUCCCUGUCUCUUAUAC
Molecule: ribosomal RNA, 301 nt
Filed under: uncultured bacterium
Lineage: Bacteria
Description: partial 16S ribosomal RNA
Rfam family: Bacterial small subunit ribosomal RNA
Source: RNAcentral